UGGGGAAUAUUGGACAAUGGGCGCAAGCCUGAUCCAGCCAUGCCGCGUGUGUGAAGAAGGCCUUCGGGUUGUAAAGCACUUUUGUCCGGAAAGAAAAGCACUGGGUUAAUACCCUGGUGUCAUGACGUUACCGGAAGAAUAAGCACCGGCUAACUUCGUGCCAGCAGCCGCGGUAAUACGAAGGGUGCAAGCGUUACUCGGAAUUACUGGGCGUAAAGCGUGCGUAGGCGGUUUGUUAAGUCUGAUGUGAAAGCCCUGGGCUCAACCUGGGAAUGGCAUUGGAUACUGGCAACCUAGAAUGUGGUAGAGGGUGGCGGAAUUCCCGGUGUAGCAGUGAAAUGCGUAGAUAUCGGGAGGAACAUCCGUGGCGAAGGCGGCCACCUGGACCAACAUUGACGCUGAGGCACGAAAGCGUGGGGAGCAAA
This 425-nucleotide ribosomal RNA is filed under the name uncultured bacterium. Its description in RNAcentral is "bacterial SSU rRNA". It matches the Rfam family "Bacterial small subunit ribosomal RNA", at positions 355 to 772 of the family's 1533-position model. The record is from RNAcentral.